Molecule: long non-coding RNA, 2220 nt
Organism: Humulus lupulus (European hop)
Lineage: Eukaryota; Viridiplantae; Streptophyta; Magnoliopsida; Rosales; Cannabaceae
Exons: 7
Source: RefSeq, a predicted model, not a curated record
AAAAAAAAAUCUUACUGUUAAUAUUUCCCUGUCUUUUUUCUUUUUCCCUCUAUCUUAAUAUUUCCUGUCCUCUUAAUAUUGAUAUCUCUCUCUCGACUGGCCCUGUCUCUGCGGCUCACUCUCUCACCGAUCCGCCCACCAAACGAUGCCGACACCGACGCCGACACCGACGCCGACGCCGACGCCGACGCCAACGCCUUUCUGAUGAAAUGAUUCUCCCACUUCUUCUGUCGCCUCUCACUUUUCCUCGACCACGUCCCCGUAUAUCUUCCUCAAUCUCUUGAAGACGUUGUGUCUUCAUUUUUUUUACUUUGUAUUUUGGGUUUCAGCAUCUUCAAUUUUUUUUAAGGGCUGAUUAUCUUAGGGGUUUAUUGGUAGUGUAUAGUCGCUCACAAUUUCUUUUUCUCUCUUUCACUCUCAUGGAUUCAGGUGCCUCUUAUUCCCCAUUCUCUUUGAGUAUUAUAUAGUUUUAUAUAUAGAAUAAUUAGAAUGUACGAUUUUACAUUUUACAUGUAAGAAUUGUUGUAUUUUGUUCAUUUGGUCUAUUGAAAUCAUAUAUAAUCAUUUUCAAACUCUACGGUGAAUCAAUAAUGAUUUUUUAUGUGAAAUUAUGAAAUUGAAUAUGCUUUUGAAGAGCAGAAGUUCCAAAACAGACCCGUGAGUACUGUAACUAUGUUAUGUUAUUUUGACAUUUUGGGUUAUCUUUGCCGAAGCACUUAUUUUUUAGAAUAAGUUAGGUGUUGGCUAAAGUUAAUUUAUUUAUCUUGUUUAAAUUAUAAUUUAAUGGCUAGCUUGAGAAAAAUAAUUAUAUAAUGUAGAGAAUAUAUUUUGUGUAUAUUUUGUUCCUAGUUGUUAUUUAAUUCUUGACUAUUCUCAAUUACAAACGACCCCUUAGAAUUCUUAUGUGGAUAUCUUGAUUGUGUACAUGCAGUCAGUAAGUGAUCUUCACAAGAAACGUAUGGAUAUGAUACGAACAUAUAUGGAAUCCUCACAGUCAGAAACAAAUACAAUCAAUCAGAAGGAUAUCAGACAAGGGAUUGGUAACCCAGUUGGCGCUAACUACCUUCAGAGACCUUCCCUUAGUUCAGAGCAGUUGAUUUCACAACCAACUGGUUCGCAAAUGUUGCAGCAAAUGACACGAUACUAAUCAAUAUACCUCGUUAUAUCAUACUUUUUUUGGUCUUCUUGCUGAUUGAACACAAGGCCUGUACCUCGCGGCUUUAGCAGCACUCGGCUGUUAUGUGGUCUUGGUUCAGGUUACUUUUAUGGGCUCUGGAAGUUCCUUGUGAUUGUUUAGCAUACUUUUUAACAACUGAAAAUUUGGUUGACAAAAAAGGACCUUAUUCUAACCUCUUUACCUCGGCACUAGUUUGAAACUAGUUUCAUCGAGCAAUGAAAAAAUGUCCUUGAUGGUCUUGUAUUAGAGUAUGAAAAAUCAAGUCAUGGUCCAGGAAAAUGGCAGAAGCUAGCUAUGUUCUUACAAAAAUGGUUUGCAAUGAUUUUUCCUCCUUUUUCUUUUUCAUUUCCUUUUGUUAGAUGUGAAUAGUAUGUAUAUGGGCAUGCCUUUUGAUGUGAAUAGUAUGUAGAUGACAUUGCUUUUAGAGAAGCUAAAGCUGCUCUAGAAAAGGCCGCUGUUGUUCAAGAGCGCACAAGCAAAGAAACACAGAAGAGAGAAGAUGCUCUUAGAGAAGAGUUUGCUUUUACUUUGGCUGAGAAGACGAAGAACUGAAGGAUAAGGCAGUGAAUAUUGAAUAUGAUGAGCAGUGCUUGACUACACUAAUAUUAAAAUUGAAGGCUGCUAAAUCAAUGGUGGCAACUGGCUAUGCCCAUUAGCUAGUGGAGUGUUUAGCUCUGUCCAUCUAUAUUUAUUCUCCAUUUCUCUCCCUUCUGGUUUUGUUGUUUCAGGAGCUAAAGAGAAAGAGCACAGCAGCUGCCACACUCAAGUCACUUCAACAUAAACUUGAGAAAUACAAGAUAGAGUUGAACAACUCGUAUAAGAAUUCUCGAGUAUACUUAUAACUUGUUCAUGUUACAUAGAACUGAUUAUUUAUAAAUUGAGAUUAUAUUUGUAUUUGAUGAAAUAUAUUUUGAUUAAGUUUGCUAUGUAAUUUUUGUCUUUGUAAUAUGUAAAUUUGGUUUAUUUUUUUAUUGUUUACUGUUGUUGGUGUAAUAAAUUUAUAAAAUUGUUAAAUAAAAAAGUUUUUAAGUUUAUUUAAUUUA